Molecule: long non-coding RNA, 268 nt
Filed under: Mytilus galloprovincialis (Mediterranean mussel)
Lineage: Eukaryota; Metazoa; Mollusca; Bivalvia; Mytilida; Mytilidae
Source: RNAcentral
CCGUUUACUUCAUUUACGUUAACGCGGUCAAAAUGGAAAUUUAUAAUGUCUACUCGAGUAAACGCGCGUUUACUCUGUGUCCGUUUAGUCAGUAGUAAACGGCCGUUUACUUCAGAUUUCACUAGUUUAAUUUUACGUGCACGUAAAAGUAAACGGGCGUUUACUACAGAUUUCUUAAUUGUAUUUUUACAUGCACUUGAGAGUAAACGCGCGUUUACUUUUCGCGUUAACUAAUUGUGUAUAUUAUAAAAUAAUUGUCGGAUGCAUU